This 486-nucleotide ribosomal RNA is filed under the name uncultured bacterium. RNAcentral describes it as "partial 16S ribosomal RNA". It matches the Rfam family "Bacterial small subunit ribosomal RNA", at positions 30 to 507 of the family's 1533-position model. The record is from RNAcentral.
AUUGAACGCUGGCGGCAUGCCUUACACAUGCAAGUCGAACGGCAGCACGGGUUCUUGCACCUGGUGGCGAGUGGCGAACGGGUGAGUAAUACAUCGGUACAUGUCCUGUCCUCGGGGAUAGCGCGGCGAAAGCCGGAUUAAUACCGCAUACGAACUUCGGAUCAUAGCGGGGGCCCUUCUGGCCUUGCCCUAUUGGGAUGGCCGAUGGCUGAUAAGCUAGUUGGUGGGGUAAAGGCCUAACAAGGCGGCGACCAGUAUCGGGUCUGAGAGCAAGACCAGCCAGACUGGCACUGAGAAAGGGCCCAGACUCCUGCGGGAGGACGCAGUGGGGAAUUUUGGACGAUGGGGCAGUGCCUGAUCCAGCAAUACCGCGGGUGGGAAGAAGGCCUUCGGGUUGUAAAGCGCUUAUGUCCGGAAAGAAGUCCUUGGCCCUAAUACGGUAGGGGGAUGACGGUACCGGAAGAAUAAGCACCGGCUAACUACGUG